GCAUUAGCAUGAGUUUGUCCUUUAUUUUUCUAGCAAAUUACACAAAAUACCGAGGGAAAAAGGAGGAUGGAAUUCAGGUCGCACUUUCAGCUAGGAAUGCCCAGCCCCUGAAUUAUUAACACCACACAGAAUUACGGCGCUGCGUGAAUCCCGAACUAAUAAACACGCGCCUUGGGUGGGAACGACUCAACUUCACUGUCCAAUGUGUUCAUGUGGACUGGCCUGUAUGCCAAGCGAACCUUCUCAUUCUCCCAGUACCUCGAGUGCUUCAUCCAUUGCUCAUCAUCUCUUUUCGUGAAAUCUUCACGAGCAUGAGCUCCUCUGCUUUCCUUCCGAGCCUCUGCUGAGUGCAUGGUUAUGCAUGCAUUUAUCAAGAGAUUUUCCAACUCAAUGGUCUCUAUCAAAUCUGAAUUCCUACUCCGGUCACUGAUCUUCACAUCAUGAUAACUUUCCCAUGCCUUGGAUAUGUGCAAAACUGCAUUACCUUCCUCGAGUGUUUCUUGCGUACGGAAGACAGCAGCAUUAUUUUGCAUAACACGUUGCAUGUUUAGACGGAUCUUGGAAGUUGGCAAUGAUCCAUUUGCAUUUCUCAGCUUGUCUAACCAGGCUAUGGUCUUUUCUCCAGCACUUUUUUGAAGAGGUUUCUGCUUCUCACCUAUAAUCGGUUUCAGCUACCCUGUUUGCACAAGCUCUGCCAAAAACAACUAUGUCAAGAAGUGAAUUUGCACCCAGACGAUUUGCACCAUGAACAGAUGCACAUGCUGC
Molecule: small RNA, 765 nt
Filed under: Oryza sativa Japonica Group (Japanese rice)
Lineage: Eukaryota; Viridiplantae; Streptophyta; Magnoliopsida; Poales; Poaceae
Description: sRNA Os07g0135550
Source: RNAcentral